Molecule: long non-coding RNA, 518 nt
Organism: Tachysurus fulvidraco (yellow catfish)
Lineage: Eukaryota; Metazoa; Chordata; Actinopteri; Siluriformes; Bagridae
Exons: 2
Source: RefSeq, a predicted model, not a curated record
UAAACAAAAGCAAAAUAAACGAUGUUAGCAACACAGUGACAGGAACAGUGCAUUAAAGCAGAAAAACACAUCUGCAGCAGAUCCCUGGGUCAUGAAACUGGAUUUAACCCUGGUGACAGGGUUACUGAAUACAAUCAGAUUUCGGCACUUAUUUUGCAUCUCGAGCCUAUUUUUUGUUCUGUAUAAGUUAUUCCAAGGUCUCAAGAUAUAAGUAUAUAAACAGAAUAUUGAUAUAGAACAGAAGCCUUUAUUUUGUCACAUGUACAUUACAGCACAGUGAAAAAUCUUCUUUCACAUAUCCCAACUUUGCAGGUUGGGGUCACAGCGCAGGGUCAGCUAUGGUACACAGCUCCUGGAGCAGUGAGGGUUAAGGGUCUUGCUCAAGGGCCCAACAGUGGCAGCAUGGCAGUGCUGGGGCUCGAACCCUGUUUCUACAAACAACCACCAAGAGCCACCACACUGACCUUAAUAAGCUUCAGGGCUCUCAAGUGUCAUGCGAUUUAACGCAACGACCAAUG